Molecule: long non-coding RNA, 3753 nt
Organism: Oncorhynchus tshawytscha (Chinook salmon)
Lineage: Eukaryota; Metazoa; Chordata; Actinopteri; Salmoniformes; Salmonidae
Source: Ensembl
GUCUCUGAAUGUCCUUGAGUGUUCCAGCCAGAGCCUGGACUUGAACACAAUCAAACAUCUCUGGAGAGACCUGAAAAUAGCUGUGCAGCGACACACCCCAUCGAACCUGACAGAGCUUGAGAGGAUUUGCAAGGAAGAAUGGGAGAAACUCCCUAAAUGCAGUUGUGCCAAACUUGUAGCGUCAUACCCAAGAAGACUCAAGGCUGUAAUUGCUGGCAAAGCUGCUUCAACAAAGUACUGAGUAAAGGGUCUGAAGGGUCUGAAUAUUAAAUAUUAAAUAAAUGUGAUUAUUUCAGUUUAUUAUUUGUAAUACAUUUUCAAAAAAAAAUCUAAAGAUUUCAAAACUGUUUUUGCUUUGUAAUUUUGGGUUAUUGUGUGUGUAUUUUGAUGGGGGGAGGAAACAAUUUAAUCCAUUUUUAGAAUAACGCUGUAAUGUAACAAAAUGUGGAUCAAGUCAAGGGGUCUGAAUACUUUCCGUAUGCACUAUAUGUGUGUUCGACACCUUGUAGAGCAUGCAUCGAUGAAUUGAGGCUGUUCUGAGGGCCAAAGGGGGUGCAACUCAAUAUUAGGAAGUUGCAUGGACUCUACAAGGUGUCGAAAGCGUUUCACAGGGAUGCUGGCCCAUGUUGACUACAAUGCUUCCCACAGUUGUCAAGUUGACUGUGUGUUCUUUGUGUGGUGGGCUAUUCUUUAUACACGCGGGAAACGGUUGAGCGUGAAAAACCCAAGCAGCGCUUGCAGCUCUUGACACAAACCGCUGCGCCUGGCACCUUGUUCAAAGGCACCGGAAUCUUUUGUCUUGCCCAUUCACCCUCUGAAUGGCACACCGUACACAAUCCAUGUCUCGAUUGUCUCGAGGCUUAAAAAUCCUUCUUUAACCCCGUCUCCUCCCCUUCUUCUUCUAUGUGGAUUUAACAGGUGACAUCAAGGGAUCGUACUGUAGCUUUCACCUUGUCAAUGCACGUCAUGGAAAGAGCAGGUGUCCUUAAUGCUUUGUACACUCAGUGUGUGUGUGUAUAUAGUGAUAUUCAUUUCUUUGUGUGUCUUAGGCUACAGAAUGUGCUGGAGGAUUUCCGAGAUCUGGAUGCUCCAGCCCUAGAGGAACCUAAACCCACGGUGGUGCUGCUGAAGCCUGAGAGGUCGGUCCGGGGCAGGAGGCGGCGUGGGGCCAGGUCCCAGAGACAGUGACUGUUUCCCCUUCACCGCCAACCUCGCCCACUAUCACUGCUUUAUAUUGUCCUGGCUCCCCCACUGUUUUUCAACUGCACUACUAUAUCGUCAUGCCAACCUCUUACCUUUGAACAGGAGUGAUCUAGAUAAAAAAUAAACAUAAUUCUGUGGAUGCUUUCACUUAGGAGAAGACCCGUCUUAAGUCUGUGUGGUUGCUUGGCGUUAUUGAUUGAGAUCCGUUAUGAUGUAAGUGUUAGAAUUGUCUACAAAAAAAAACUGUACUGUUUCUCAGUGCGUUUACUGUGAGUCAGGAUAAGAGUAUCUACUUGAAUGACCUACGUUUGCUCUCUGUUUGAGAUUGUAUGAUAUGUGUGGUUUGUGUAUGUUCCAAGACUGUUUUUGAGAUGCUAGACGCUGUCCCUGACCACAGAUCUGGGAUCAGAUAACCCAAAUCCUUAUGAGGAUACAAAAUAUAUCUAAUCCUGGACCUGAGUUGUGGGGCAACUUAUACCAACUCCUAGAGAUGCUUGCUGUUGCUGAGCCCUUUCACUGUGGUAGUCAUACAGUAUGUGUACCCAGAGAGAGAGAGACCAUGCAUCUGUGCCAGACAGUCUCGGGCUUCUCUGCAGACAGACACACUACUACCCAACACAUAGCCUUGGUGUGGAAACCAUGCAAUGGCAAAAGUAAUAAUUCCCAAUCAGGGGGUGUAUCACAAAGCAGGAUCAAUGAGUUGGCCAGCAAACUCUCCAGCCUAAAUAUUCUGAAGUCAUAUUUUCAAGUUCAUAAAGAUAAUGUGAAAUGGGCAUGACUUGACACUACUAACAACCCACAUUCAAGAUAAGCUUUCAGUGUAGGACACUUUUUUUUUUCUCUCUAGUUUUCUAAAAAUGACACACCCAAAUCUAUCUGCAUGUAGCUCAGGCCCUGAAGCAAGGAUAUGCAUAUUAUUGAUACCAUUUGAAAGGGAACACUUUGAAGUUUGUGGAAAUGUGAAUGUACUGUAGGAUAAUAUAGCACAUUAGAUCUGGUAAAAGAUAAUACAAAGGAGAAAAAAAAACAUGUUUAUUUUUUACUUUUAUUUUUGUCUUUGAAAUGCAAGAGAAAGGCCAAUAAAUGACUUAGGAAUCUAGGAGCAAUUUAGAUUUUGCCCACUAGAUGACAGCAGUGUAUGUGCAAUGUUUUAGACUGAUUCAAUGAACUAUUUUGUUUCUGUUCAAAAUGUUGUAUCAAGACUGCCCAAAUGUGCCUAAUUCGUUUAAUAAUACAUUUUCAAGUUCAUAACUGUGCUCUCUCCUCAAACAAUAGCAAUGGUAUUAUUUCACUGUAAUAGCUACUUUAAAUAGUACAGUGCGGUUAGAUUAACAAGAAUGUAAGCUUUCUGGCCCUAUCAGAUAUGUCUAUGUCGUGGGAAACGUUCUUGUUUACUUAGAACCUCAUGCUAAUCACAUUAGCCUACGUUAGCUCAACCGUCCCGCAGGGGGACACCGAUCCUGUAGAGGUUUUAAAUGUACCAGCUCGAUCUGGUGGUCAUGCUUUGUGAUACACUCCAACAUAUUCUCUGUGUGAUGUUUAGCAAACGAUGUACAUUUCAAUUAUUUCCUUUCACGGGAAUGGCUGAAGAAAUAGUGUGUUGAGAUAUACAUCCAAGUCAACAGUUAUUGGCACCCUUGGUAAAGAUUGAACAAACAUUACAACAACAAAACAUCCUAAUCCUGAGCUAUUGUAUGCUCCAACAUUUUUUUUUAAUUCUAUGAUUUUAUACAAUUGGAAACAGAGAUAUUGUUUAGUAAGAUUUUUUUUCUUCUCAAAGAUAGGGGUCAAACUUAUUGGCACCUCUGAAUUCAAUUCCUUUAACUCACCUUGUGAGGAUAAUGGCACUGAGCCUUUAAAUGUUUUAUAUUUUUUAUGUGAUUGGAGAACACAUUGGUUUAGACCAUUCCUCCAUACAUAAUCUUACCAGAUCUUUGAUACCCUCUGUCUGUUCUCAUGGCCUACCCUCUUCAAUUCUAACCACAGAUUUUCAACGGGAUUCCAGUCCAGAGACUGAGAUGGCCAUUACAAUAUGUUGUGACAUUUGUUAAACACAAUCUCUUUCUCAACAAUUUGUAUUAGUAUAAAAGAAAUAUAAUUUUCCAUGUUUUUUAGCAUACAAUAUCGAUCAGUAGUUGUAUUUAUUUUAUACAUAAUUUUUUGCCCAUCUUGUGUGGGUUUGUAACGCAAUGUAUUUUUGGUGGGAUAGAGUUAUACUUUCUUUGUCCUUCAAAUCGCUUUGCUCUGUACACUAUCUGCCAGCCCAAUAAUACUGGCAUCUCUUACUGUAUUUAAAUAAAAUGAAAAGAAGCAGAUUAUGCAAUUUCUACACUUGGAGAUUUGUAAAUAUGUACAGCUAAUGUGUUUUAUUUUGAUUUUAUAUUGUUAGAGAGACAACAAUGAAUUGUGAAUUUUUGGGGGAAUUGUAAUUAAGUAUUUUCUCAUACCCUUGCUUUCAAUACUUAUGUUUAAAGAUUGAAUUGUGGACUGUAGCUUUCUUUUUAUAUGGGAGUCUUUUUUAUUUAAUAUUAAACUAUUUACAGAAAAUGA